UACGUAGGGUGCGAGCGUUGUCCGGAAUUAUUGGGCGUAAAGAACUCGUAGGCGGUCUGUCGCGUCUGCUGUGAAAUCCCGAGGCUCAACCUCGGGCUUGCAGUGGGUACGGGCAGGCUAGAGUGCGGUAGGGGAGAAUGGAACUCCUGGUGUAGCGGUGGAAUGCGCAGAUAUCAGGAAGAACACCGAUGGCGAAGGCAGUUCUCUGGGCCGUAACUGACGCUGAGGAGCGAAAGCGUGGGGAGCGAACAGG
RNAcentral lists this ribosomal RNA (253 nucleotides) under uncultured bacterium. RNAcentral's name for it is "partial 16S ribosomal RNA". It matches the Rfam family "Bacterial small subunit ribosomal RNA", at positions 524 to 776 of the family's 1533-position model. The record is from RNAcentral.